Toxorhynchites rutilus septentrionalis is the source of this 901-nucleotide long non-coding RNA. RefSeq lists it as uncharacterized. The transcript is spliced from 3 exons. NCBI's taxonomy places the organism in Eukaryota, Metazoa, Arthropoda, Insecta, Diptera, Culicidae. The record is from RefSeq and is a predicted model, not a curated record.
AAUUAAACAAACUAAAUGGCAUCACUGGUGGUUUUUUUUUCCACUCCGCUAAACUGUCAUCUCAAACAAAAACAAAUGGAUCAUACAACUGCUAUGAAUACAUUCGACUCGUUUGCUUCCAUCAAUCGGUAAGUGAGAAAGAUGAUUUCUCCCAUCACCACAGUGCGGAUUUCCACUUCUAUCACAGCAGCCAACAACAUCCGUUUUCCUGCAGCAGUAACCUCCAACCCCUGUUGGCAAUGCCGGGGGACAGCAUUAACAGCAGCAGCAGCAGAAUUUGACCAUGGUAUGGUAUUGCGAAGAACUUUCCCCAUUAGAGGUUCCGUGCUUCGCGCACAUUCAAAAAUCCUCUUCAGACACGAAAACUCAACGACAAGGAGGUAUUUAUCAACUUGCUCAGCUGAACUACCACCCGGAGGAACCCGAAUGCACUGAUUCCGUUGUAUAGUAGAAUGAAAAUAGGCGAGGUAAGCGAACGUAAUCGCAUGAUAUUUUAAUGUUCGCAUUUUUAUCCGGAUCAUACAACUGCUAUAAAUACAUCCGACUCAAUCAAUCGGCGAAUGAGAAAGAUGAUUUCCCUCAUCACCACAUUGCUUAUUUCCACUUCUGUCACACCAGCCAACAGCAUCAGCUUUCCCGCAGCAGUAUCCUUUAAGUCCAGGGUGCUAUUCCGGGGAACAGCAUCAACAGCAACAGCAGCAGGACCUGGCCAUCGAUAGUAUUUCGAGCAAUUUUCCCCAUCGGAGAUCCCGUGCUUCACGCACAUUGAAGAAUCCUCCUCAGCCACAUAUCUGUGUCAUCAAGGGCAAGGAGGUAUUCAUCAAUGUACUCAGUCGGAUUUGAAUCGUCAAUCCAGACAACCCGGAUGCACCGAUUCCAUUAUAUACCUUAUUUUUAUUAU